Molecule: transfer RNA, 71 nt
Filed under: Marmota monax (woodchuck)
Lineage: Eukaryota; Metazoa; Chordata; Mammalia; Rodentia; Sciuridae
Description: tRNA.Met
Rfam family: tRNA
About the family: Transfer RNA (tRNA) molecules are approximately 80 nucleotides in length. Their secondary structure includes four short double-helical elements and three loops (D, anti-codon, and T loops).
Source: RNAcentral
GGGGUUGUGGCUCAGUGGUAGAGCUCUUGUCUCAUAUGCAUGAGCCACUGGGUUCAAUCCUCAGCACCACA